Long non-coding RNA from Corapipo altera (White-ruffed manakin), 697 nucleotides. RefSeq lists it as uncharacterized. NCBI's taxonomy places the organism in Eukaryota, Metazoa, Chordata, Aves, Passeriformes, Pipridae. The record is from RefSeq and is a predicted model, not a curated record. The transcript is spliced from 3 exons.
CUGUGAGAAAACCCAAGCAGAGCUUUGUUCUUCAGACCUGAUCACACCAACUACCCUGCUCUGGGGGGUAUGAAGGCCCCGUCAAACACAGCUCCCCAGUAGUGAUAAUCUAGGCCAAGCCCUUGGACUUCUGCUUGCAUAUCUUCUCCUUCAAUCUGUCAUAGCACCUGGGGCCAUUACCAAAAUGAAGGCAGCAGGUGCCCCCAGUGGGACUCUUCUUGCUGAACAUGAAAAUCUCCAGUUUCCGUGAGCUGAGCUGAUCACCUUGAACACCUGUUAUUGUUAAGGGAAGAAAUAGGCCCUGUUAUGGCUCAGGUUGUUUGCUCCAUCCUGGCACCUGUAUCAGGACAGCAACACCAUGCCCUGCAAGUGUCCUUUUGCUCUGCUGCCUGUGCAGACUCAGGGCAGCUGUCACAAGGAUAAAGAUCUGCGUUUUGUUAAAUCAGUCAAGGAGCCUGUGAAGAUGUCUUCUAACUCCAGACAUAAGGAAGUAUGAGAGCAGGCAAUGGUCUCCCAGAAGUCCUGCAUCAGAUGUGGCUUGGAUGUCCUAGGAGGUCUCAAAUGGUGUUAGAGAUGUUUGAAAUACUAUACAUCUCACUCCAACGGAAAAAGUCCAAACCUUUCUGCUUGAGACAAAGAAAUGGCAUUGUAGCAUCUGUGAAAUGCUUUUUUUAACCAUUCACCAUCCUUCAUAGUA